Molecule: long non-coding RNA, 691 nt
Filed under: Felis catus (domestic cat)
Lineage: Eukaryota; Metazoa; Chordata; Mammalia; Carnivora; Felidae
Description: lncRNA (ENSFCAG00000046668.2)
Source: RNAcentral
CUAUAGGUCUCCAUUUUCUGAUUUCUCUAAUCCUAUACAACAGCUUGGGAACAAAGAAAGAGAAGCCAGAAGCCAAAGACAGUUCUCUUUUGCAGCCUUCAGGUUAAUCAAAGAAAAAAAAGAAUCACUGCUCUUGAUGUAAACUGAAAAAAGGAGACUAAAAACAUCUAGAUUCUAGAAGUGAUACUUCAGAGGAGGAUCCGGCUUCACGAAUAGAAUGUCCAAAGAAAAUAUACUUAUGAGACCCUCAUCCCAGUUUAAAAAUCUUCAGAUUAUUAUGCCUAUGGAAGAAUGGCUGCACCCCAGUGUGCUGGCCACUUGGCAACUUUGCAUAUCUCUACAUUGGCCACAAAAGGAAGUUUCAACACUCAGCAAGCCCAAGUCUUGGUGGAAAGCCCUGUGAUCCCACCAAUGUAUGGCAAAAUAGGUAUCCUUUAAUACACUUUCACUGGCCUUUUCCCAACUGCUUGUCUGUUUGGGGGGAGAUGCCCUAUCCUGCUGGAUGCUUCCAUGAGUUGGUACAGAAUCGACUCUCCCACAAUAGGGAAACCAAUCACUUGUGACAUCUCUCAUCUGGCCCCUCCAGUUUGGUGCCAUCCUGUGGAAUUUGGGAGACUCACUCCAUGUUGAUAUUGCUUACACUGUCAGUGUAAGUAAUAAAUUGUCACAAUCAACUAAAGUUUGUUAUCUC